CGGGUGGUGGUCAAUGGAAGUAAGUCCAGCUGGCGACUCAUUACAAGUGGUGUCCCCCAGGGGUUGGUGCUGGGGCCCAUCCUGUUUAAUAUCUUUGUUGAUGACCUAGAUGAAGGGAUUGAGCAUACCCUGAGUAAGUUUGCAGAUGACACCAAGUUGGGAAGUAGUGUCAAUCUGCCUGAGGGUAGGGAGGCCCUUCAGAGGGAUCUAGAUAAGCUGGAUCACUGGGCUGAGGUGAAUGGGAUGAGGUUUAACAAGGCCAAGUGUCGGGUCCUGCACUCUGGCCACAAUAACCCCUUGCAGCACUAUAGGCUUGGGGAUGAGUGGUUGGAUGACUGUGAAGAGGAAAGGGACUUGGGGGUGUUGGUUGAUGCUCGGCUGAACAUGAGCCGACAGUGUGCCCAAGUGGCCAAGAGGACCAAUGGCAUCCUGGCCUGUAUUAGAAAUAGUGUGACCAGCAGGAGCAGGGGGGUAAUCGUCCCCCUGUACUCGGCACUAGUGGUUGGUUUUGGGCCCCUGUAGUGGAAUUCCAGAGUCACAGCCUGAACCAAUGGGUGGGCUAUGUGAGUGUGUGAGUGGCUGGAAUGGGGGGUGGUGGUCUGGAGCCACCCCUUCUGUCUCUGCAAUACUUCCUGCGCAGUCUGAGUCUGCGCGGGUCCCUCUCUUUGCCCCCGCCCUUCUCUCCGGCGGCGCGAUGGUACAAAUGGGGGAGCGACACAUUCCUCAGCUCGUCUCUCUCUGCACGCUGUUACCAGGAGGGGUGAGUCAAUUCCUUUUGAUAUCUUUUCCUUGUGUGCCUAUUUCUCAAAUAAAGGCUCUGUCAUUGCCUUCAUUUGUUCUACAGCCCCUCAGUACAAGAAAGACAUUGAGGCCCUGGAAUGUGUCCAGAGAAGGGCAUCAAAACUGGUGAAGGGUCUGGAGUACAAGUCUUAUGAGGAGUGGCUGAGGGAGCUGCGAUUGUUUAGUUUGGAGAAGAGGAGGCUCACGGGAGACCUCAUUGCACGUUACAACUUCCUGAAGGGAGGUUGUGAUGAGGAAGGGUUUGGCCUCUUCUCCCAGGCAAAUAACAGGACCCGAGGAAGUGGCCAGAAGUUGUACCAGAGGAGGUUUAGGUUAGACAUUAGGAGAAACUUUUUCUCUCAGAGGUUGGUCAGGCACUGGAAUGGCUGCCCAGGGAGGUGCUGGAGUCGCCGUCCCUGGCAGUGUUCAAGAGGUAUCUGGAUGAGUAGCUAUGAGAUAUGGUUUAGUAGCUUGUGGUACCAAUGGGAACGGGAAGGCGGUUGGACUAGAUGAUCUUGCAGGUCGUUUCCAACCUUAUGAUUCUAUGAUUCUAUGAAGGCAACAACAUUGAAUGGCGGUUUCACCUGCCCUGUAAUCCAAUUGGAGAAGGCCUAAUAGAAAGAUAGAACGGGAUCCUGAAGGCUGCUCUGAAGGCAGAUUCACAGUCUUUGCAGGGGUGGACCAAGAGACUUUAUGAAACCCUGCGAGACUUGAAUUAGAGACUAAGAGAUGGCAGACCCAGUGCUUUAAGAAUGUUGCAGACAACUUGGGCUUCCCUGCUUAGGAUACAAAUUACAGGCAAGGACACCUCGCUCAAGCCACAAGUUGGCACCAUGAAUAAUCUUCUGCUCACUGCCCCUGUGGACUUAGAGCCUGGGAAGCACAAGGUAAAAUGGCCUUGGAAGGUGCAAGCAGGACCAAAAUUAUGUGGUCUCCUUGCAGCUUGAGGAAGAUUGUUAGAGGUUGGGGGAUCAGUAAACCCUCCAAUAAUCGGUUCAUGGCCAGCAGAGGUAGUAGUUGACAUCCCUGUUUUCAUUGAAAAGGAGACAUUAAUCAUGUCCACGUGGCAAAUUAGAAACCCGCCUUUGGUACCUGAUAUAGUGAUUCAGCCACAGAUAUCAGGCCAAAGGGUGUGGUAUCGAAGACCAGGAUGUGCCCCAAUACAGGCAGAGGUGAAGAAAGGGUUCAGUAAGAAUGGGUCUGCAGAAACUAAGAGUGAAAGAGAAUUAGAGAUAGUUUACAGAAGCAGAUAUGCAGAGGCUGCUAGAAGAAUGGGUCAUUGCUGUGGAGACCAGCUUCAAGGCAGGUAAGACUGCACUGGACAAGGGACCUAAAGCAAAAAGGCUGACCAAAAAGCUCUUUUUAGGGCUUUUUUGAAGCUAGCAAAAGCACUAUACCGGUGCUGGGGGGCUGGCAACUUGUGGGCGGGCUGCUGAGCCAGCAGGGGCAGAGCGGGCACUGCCCACUCUUAUCUCACGAGCUCGACCUUGACCUUUUGCUGUGCAAUUAGAAGCAUCUUCGGGAGGGUGGAAGCUAGCUUAACACACUAGGUGAGAAAAGAGUGUUACCUUCCACUGUUAACAGGAAGGGAGUCAGUGUGUGAGCACAGCCCACACUGCCCAUACUGCAGCAGCAGGUGUGGGAGGUGUGUCUUGUGGCAGGACACGAGUGUUUCUUUUGUUCCUUUUGUCUUCACUUAGGAGACCAGCUCUCCUACUGGCAGACCCCGUAUGCUAAUGGACUCUUGGAAAUGUAAUGAAUAUGUAUACGAAUUCUGGGUAAAUCAUUGAUUAUGUAUUAGUUCUGCCUAUAUCUGUACCAAGCUUUUGUCCUACAGUGUGCAAGUCAGGAGGAGUGAUCCCCCUUGCACCCAGCACUCGCGCAUCGCUGAAUAAAUGCAUACCUGCUUUAUAACCUAACUCUGGGUUAUAGAGUUUGAUUCCACAAGUCAGAGGUGUCGACUCAAGACCAAAAUACAGCCUGUAUCUUACCAUGGAGGGCAGAACUACCCCUCCUUGUACCUAUUAAACAUCUGUUUUACUCCCCUUGAGGUUAUAAGUUCACAGGACAGCUGGCAGGAGCAACAUCACUCCAGGUUGCUUCAGUGUCCAUGAGGAAACAUCAUGACACCCUGUUGUGCACAGCUGAACUUUUGGGAACUGGCGAGUGUGUAUCAGAACUGCUACUGGUCCUUGAAGAAGAUAUGCCUCAAGAAAGAACAUCAAGUGCUGGCCCAACAGAACCGCAGAAAAGACUGCCAAUAAUUGCCUUUAUUGUCUUAACAUUCUACACUGCGGUGGGUAUUGUACAUGUGUCACAAUGUACAUGGAAAUUGGAAAAUACAAGCCACGAAACUGCAGGAGCUCACCCCCUACCUGCUCAGUCAUUGGUUCAUACUGUGAAGGGGUGGAGUGUAGUGGAAUUUCAAGGUCACAGCCUGAACCAAUACAUGAGCAUGUGACUGCCUGGAGUGGGGGAGGACGGGCUAGCGCUACAUUUUUUGUCUCAGUGAUGCUUCUGGGAGCAUGUGUGCAAUCUGAGCCUGCGUGGGUUCCCCUUCCCCCACCCUUCUCUCUUGUGGCUCGAGUAUGAAUGGGAGAAAGCUGCAUUCCUCAGCUUGCCCCUUUCUCCAGACUGUUACUGGGAGGGGCGUCAUGGUUUUAUGAUUCUUGUUUAUUGGUAUUCCACAUCAUAACAUCAUGUAGUGCACUGGGAGUUAAAGAGUUAAUGCUCCAGUUCUGGGCACCUGUCUGCUAGAGAAGAGCUACAUUGCUGAAGAGCAGAUUGCUGUGGAGACCAGCUUCAGGGCAGUUCUGUCUUGUAGCAUCAUCCAUCACAAAGACCUGUCAAGGCAACAGCCUGGAGGCACUUCACAGCAACCCUCAGGACUCCACACCUCCCUGGGCAGCCUGUUCCAAUCAGCUUUCCUGAGAAAAGAACUCCAAUCAGCUUUGCCAGAACUCUUCAUUAAAAAUAGUGAUUAGGAAGCCUCAAUAUGAGAGUUCAUGACAGGAGGAACAUAUCAUCAGCCAAUUUUUCAGUAAGGCCAAGGAACCAAUUUUGCAACUGCGCGUUCUAUUCAAAAAAUGCCUUAAAUCCCAAAACUUCAGGAUAUUUGCACUCUCAUCCUUUCAAGCUAACAUUUCCUCCUGCGUUGUGGACAUCACAUCUUUUUGGCUGUCUUUGUAUUCCACCCCACCUCUGAAUGCUGGUGGACUGCACAUCCUCACAGUUCAGAAACAAAACCAGUUCACAGCAGUAGCUGUAGGGAAGAAGGCUUAAGGCAUGUUCAUGUAAUGCCUUAAAUGAAAUUCUAAUGAUACCAAGCACAGUAGGUGCAUACAGUCAAGGGUCUUUAAGAGACUCUUCUCCUUCUCUCUAAGAGAAGGCUCUGAAAGAGCCACAAAUGUCUGCGGUAUUCAAAAUGAGCAUGCACCAGGAAUUCACAUCAUUACAUUACAAUGCUUUAUGCCUGAUCAUCUGUUACUUUCCAUGUAACUUUCAACAUUCUCUUUGUUUUCUGACUUCUGCUGAGGAACUGUUUCCAUAGAGCCUGGAAACACCUCCUAAAUGGCAAUAUGUAUAGGCACUAUGUAUAUCAAAUCUAUCAUGGUAUAUAGAAAAUUAGACUGUUAAAAUUAUUGUUUACCAAUUGUACCAGAUUUCAUGCUUAUCAAUGUUAUAUUUCACGUGCCAUUUUAUUGCCUCAUCAAUUCAAUCUCAUUAUAUACUCCUGCAGUUCUUCGCAGCUUUUGUUUUUACC
Gallus gallus (chicken) is the source of this 4543-nucleotide long non-coding RNA. The record is from Ensembl. NCBI's taxonomy places the organism in Eukaryota, Metazoa, Chordata, Aves, Galliformes, Phasianidae.